GAUGAAGAACGCAGCGAAAUGCGAUAAGUAGUGUGAAUUGCAGAAUUCAGUGAAUCAUCGAAUCUUUGAACGCACAUUGCGCCCCUUGGUAUUCCAUGGGGCACGCCUGUUCGAGCGUCAUUUGUACCUUCAAGCUUUGCUUGGUGUUGGGUGUUUGUCUCGCCUUUGCGUGUAGACUCGCCUUAAAAUAAUUGGCAGCCGGCGUAUUGAUUUCGGAGCGCAGUACAUCUCGCGCUUUGCACUCAUAACGACAGCGUCCAAAAGUACAUUUUACACUCUUGACCUCGGAUCAGGUAGGGAUACCCGCUGAACUUAAGCAUAUCAAUAAGCGGAGGA
This 336-nucleotide unclassified non-coding RNA is filed under the name soil metagenome. RNAcentral's name for it is "partial contains 5.8S ribosomal RNA, internal transcribed spacer 2, and large subunit ribosomal RNA". The stretch from base 1 to 120 matches the Rfam family "5.8S ribosomal RNA", at positions 35 to 154 of the family's 154-position model. The record is from RNAcentral.